Non-coding RNA from Podarcis lilfordi (Lilford's wall lizard), 67 nucleotides. The record is from the annotation of a GenBank genome assembly. Lineage: Eukaryota; Metazoa; Chordata; Lepidosauria; Squamata; Lacertidae.
GUCGUAGCUCACUGGUAGAGCAUCUGUUGCAUGCAGAAGGUGCAAGAUUCAAUCCCUGGCAUCUCCA